RNAcentral lists this ribosomal RNA (497 nucleotides) under uncultured bacterium. RNAcentral describes it as "partial 16S ribosomal RNA". It matches the Rfam family "Bacterial small subunit ribosomal RNA", at positions 28 to 507 of the family's 1533-position model. The record is from RNAcentral.
GAUGAACGCUGGCGGCGUGCCUAAUACAUGCAAGUCGAGCGAACAGACGAGGAGCUUGCUCCUCUGACGUUAGCGGCGGACAGGUGAGUAACACGUGGAUAACCUACCUAUAAGACUGGGAUAACUUCGGGAAACCGGAGCUAAUACCGGAUAAUAUAUUGAACCGCAUGGUUCAAUAGUGAAAGACGGUUUUGCUGUCACUUAUAGAUGGAUCCGCGCUGCAUUAGCUAGUUGGUAAGGUAACGGCUUACCAAGGCAACGAUGCGUAGCCGACCUGAGAGGGUGAUCGGCCACACUGGAACUGAGACACGGUCCAGACUCCUACGGGAGGCAGCAGUAGGGAAUCUUCCGCAAUGGGCGAAAGCCUGACGGAGCAACGCCGCGUGAGUGAUGAAGGUCUUCGGAUCGUAAAACUCUGUUAUUAGGGAAGAACAAAUGUGUAAGUAACUAUGCACAUCUUGACGGUACCUAAUCAGAAAGCCACGGCUAACUACGUG